This 254-nucleotide ribosomal RNA is filed under the name uncultured bacterium. RNAcentral describes it as "partial 16S ribosomal RNA". It matches the Rfam family "Bacterial small subunit ribosomal RNA", at positions 524 to 776 of the family's 1533-position model. The record is from RNAcentral.
UACGUAGGUGGCAAGCGUUGUUCGGAAUUACUGGGCGUAAAGGGCUCGUAGGCGGCCAACUAAGUCGGACGUGAAAUCCCCAGGCUCAACCUGGGAACUGCGUCCGAUACUGGAUGGCUUGAAUCCGGGAGAGGGAUGCAGAAUUCCAGGUGUAGCGGUGAAAUGCGUAGAUAUCUGGAGGAAUACCGGUGGCGAAGGCGGCAUCCUGGACCGGCAUUGACGCUGAGGGAGCGAAAGCCAGGGGAGCAAACGGG